AUUGAACGCUGGCGGCAUGCCUUACACAUGCAAGUCGAACGGCAGCACGGGAGCAAUCCUGGUGGCGAGUGGCGAACGGGUGAGUAAUAUAUCGGAACGUGCCCAGUCGUGGGGAUAACGUAGCGAAAGCUACGCUAAUACCGCAUACUAUCUAUGGAUGAAAGCGGGGGGAUCGCAAGACCUCGCGCGAUUGGAGCGGCCGAUAUCAGAUUAGGUAGUUGGUGAGGUAAAGGCUCACCAAGCCGACGAUCUGUAGCUGGUCUGAGAGGACGACCAGCCACACUGGGACUGAGACACGGCCCAGACUCCUACGGGAGGCAGCAGUGGGGAAUUUUGGACAAUGGGCGCAAGCCUGAUCCAGCAAUGCCGCGUGCAGGAUGAAGGCC
RNAcentral lists this ribosomal RNA (386 nucleotides) under uncultured bacterium. RNAcentral describes it as "bacterial SSU rRNA". It matches the Rfam family "Bacterial small subunit ribosomal RNA", at positions 30 to 416 of the family's 1533-position model. The record is from RNAcentral.